This 118-nucleotide ribosomal RNA is filed under the name Selaginella moellendorffii. Lineage: Eukaryota; Viridiplantae; Streptophyta; Lycopodiopsida; Selaginellales; Selaginellaceae. The record is from RNAcentral.
GUGGGUUCAAACCGUGACUAUAGCAUUGGAUCCCAUCAGACCUCCAAAGUUAAGCAUCCCUAGGCUUGAAUAGUAUUGGGCUGAGUGACCACCUAGGAAGUCCAAGUGGUGACCCACU